UACGUAGGGUGCAAGCGUUGUCCGGAAUUAUUGGGCGUAAAGAGCUCGUAGGCGGUCCGUCACGUCGGCUGUGAAAACCUGGGGCUCAACCCCGGGCCUGCAGCCGAUACGGGCGGACUAGAAUUCGGUAGGGGAGACUGGAAUUCCUGGUGUAGCGGUGAAAAGCGCAGAUAUCAGGAGGAACACCGGUGGCGAAGGCGGGUCUCUGGGCCGAUAUUGACGCUGAGGAGCGAAAGCGUGGGGAGCGAACAGG
Molecule: ribosomal RNA, 253 nt
Filed under: uncultured bacterium
Lineage: Bacteria
Description: partial 16S ribosomal RNA
Rfam family: Bacterial small subunit ribosomal RNA
Source: RNAcentral